UACGUAGGGGGCAAGCGUUGUCCGGAUUUAUUGGGCGUAAAGAGCGUGUAGGCGGCUUCACAGGUCCGCUGUGAAAACUCGAGGCUCAACCUCGAGCUGUCGGUGGAAACCGUGUGGCUAGAGUCCGGAAGAGGAGAGUGGAAUUCCUGGUGUAGCGGUGAAAUGCGCAGAUAUCAGGAAGAACACCAAUGGCGAAGGCAGCUCUCUGGGACGGUACUGACGCUGAGACGCGAAAGCGUGGGGAGCGAACAGG
RNAcentral lists this ribosomal RNA (253 nucleotides) under uncultured bacterium. Its description in RNAcentral is "partial 16S ribosomal RNA". It matches the Rfam family "Bacterial small subunit ribosomal RNA", at positions 524 to 776 of the family's 1533-position model. The record is from RNAcentral.